Long non-coding RNA from Motacilla alba alba, 195 nucleotides. RefSeq lists it as uncharacterized. NCBI's taxonomy places the organism in Eukaryota, Metazoa, Chordata, Aves, Passeriformes, Motacillidae. The transcript is spliced from 3 exons. The record is from RefSeq and is a predicted model, not a curated record.
CCAGUGUUCGUACACCAGCUGAUGUAUCCAUUGACUAUCGAUGUUCAUCCUCCUUCCUCACCAUGAUAUUCACCUGUUACAAAGGACCUAAGGUCAGCAUUUCUGAAAAUGGCAAAUCUUUCUAGGGAGUCAACUCGACUGGUCACAGAUAGCACAGAUUUUAGAAAUAAGGCUGAAUUAUGAGGAAAACCACUG